AUUGGCAGAUGACGAUAACUCAGUUUUAUGCUUAACACUCUGAUUUAACCGUGGUGAUUAUAAACUCCGCUUAUUAUCUGAUGCCUAUUUUAAUAACUGUUUUUGAGUUUUUAUUUAUUAAUUUUUUUUGUUUUAUAAGGAAAGCAAAUGAUGCAAUAAAAAACAUCUUAUACUACACACUGAAGAUUUUGAUGUAGAAAACUAUCUCUCAAUUGUUUUCUGAUGCUUUC
This 230-nucleotide long non-coding RNA is filed under the name Helianthus annuus (common sunflower). Its description in RNAcentral is "hypothetical non coding rna". The stretch from base 1 to 88 matches the Rfam family "Small nucleolar RNA R16". The record is from RNAcentral. Lineage: Eukaryota; Viridiplantae; Streptophyta; Magnoliopsida; Asterales; Asteraceae.